RNAcentral lists this ribosomal RNA (497 nucleotides) under uncultured bacterium. Its description in RNAcentral is "partial 16S ribosomal RNA". It matches the Rfam family "Bacterial small subunit ribosomal RNA", at positions 28 to 507 of the family's 1533-position model. The record is from RNAcentral.
GAUGAACGCUGGCGGCGUGCCUAAUACAUGCAAGUCGAGCGAACGGACGAUAAGCUUUCUCCUCUGCUGUUAGCGGCGGACGGGUGAGUAAAACGUAGAUAACCUACCUAUUAUACUGGGAUAACUUCGUGAAACCAGUUCUAAUACCAGAUAAUAUUUUGAACCGCAUGGAUCAAAAGUAAAUGAGGGUUUUGCUGUCACUUAUAGAUGGAUCCGCGCUGCAUUAGCUAGUUGGUAAGGUAACGGCUUACCAAGGCAACGAUGCAUAGCUGAGCUGAGAGGGUGAUCAGCCACACUGGAACUGAGACACGGUCCAGACUCCUACGGGAGGCAGCAGUAGGGAAUAUUGGACAAUGGGCGAAAGCCUGACGCAGCAAUGCCGCGUGAGUGAUGAAGGCCUUCGGAUCGUAAAGCUCUUUUGUUAGGGAAGAAAAUCUGUGUAUGUAUCUGUGGAUAUCUUGACGGUACCCAAUCAGAAAGCACCGGCUAACUACGUG